GUGGGUUUGGGGCACCGCCAAGUCCUUAGAGUUUUAAGCGUUUGUGCUCGUAGUUCUCAGGCGGAUACAUGUGUGAUGGGAGGUAUCUAGAUUUAGGGCUAG
RNAcentral lists this ribosomal RNA (102 nucleotides) under unidentified. RNAcentral describes it as "partial 12S ribosomal RNA". The record is from RNAcentral.